UAGGAAUCUUGCGCAAUGGACGAAAGUCUGACGCAGCGACGCCGCGUGGAGGAAGACUGCCCUAGGGUUGUAAACUCCUUUCAGUAGUGAAGAAAAUGACUGUAACUCCAGAAGAAGCACCGGCCAACUAUGUGCCAGCAGCCGCGGUGAGACAUAGGGUGCAAGCGUUGUCCGGAAUUACUGGGCGUAAAGGGCUCGUAGGCGGUUUUUAAAGUCGGAAGUGAAAUUUCCAAGCUCAACUUGGAACGGCCUUUCGAUACUAGAAGACCAGAGUUUGGCAGAGGAGAGUAGAAUUCUCAGUGUAGCGGUAAAAUGCGUAAAUAUUGGGAGGAAUACCAACAGCGAAGGCAGCUCUCUGGGCCAAAACUGACGCUGAUGAGCGAAAGCAUGGGUAGCAAAC
RNAcentral lists this ribosomal RNA (400 nucleotides) under uncultured bacterium. RNAcentral describes it as "bacterial SSU rRNA". It matches the Rfam family "Bacterial small subunit ribosomal RNA", at positions 356 to 773 of the family's 1533-position model. The record is from RNAcentral.